Molecule: ribosomal RNA, 253 nt
Filed under: uncultured bacterium
Lineage: Bacteria
Description: partial 16S ribosomal RNA
Rfam family: Bacterial small subunit ribosomal RNA
Source: RNAcentral
UACGGAGACUACGAGCGUUACUCGGAUUCACUGGGCGUAAAGGGUGCGCAGGCGGCCAAAUGUGUUGGGUGUGAAAUCCUGGGGCUUAACUCCAGGGCUGCGCUCAAAACUGUUUGGCUAGAGUCUCGGAGAGGUAAGCGGAAUUCCUAGUGUAGCAGUGAAAUGCGUAGAUAUUAGGAGGAACACCAAAGGCGAAGGCAGCUUACUGGACGAGUACUGACGCUCAUGCACGAAAGCGUGGGGAGCAAAAAGG